CAGCCUUCACCUACUUCUACAAGGGCGGCCGCUACUGGCAGUUCGACAACCAGCAGCUGCGGGUGGCCCCGGGUUACCCCAAAUCGGUGCUGCGGGACUGGCUGGGCUGCGGGGGCCGCCGGGGGGGCGGCGGCGACGACGACGAGCCCCACGGCGGCGGGGACGACGGGGACGUCACCCCACCGCCGGGCGGUGGCGGUGGCGGCGGUGGGGACACCGAGGUCAUCGUCAUCGAGGUGGGGUCCGGGCCGGGCGCCGUGGCCCUGCCCUUGGCGUUGGUGUUGGCAGCCGGGGGGCUGGCGGUCGGGGCUUUGCUCUGCCGCCGCCGCGGGCCCCCCAAGCGCCUGCUCCACUGCCAGCGCUCCCUGCUGCCGCGCGUCUAGCCACGCCCCCCCUUCUGCCCUCAGCCACGCCCCUCACACCUCCCAGGCCACGCCCUCCCCCCUCCUGCCUCUUCCCCUGCCUCCUUCCUUCCUGCGAUGGGGUUACUGCCCCCCCCUCCCCCGUUGUGGCUGCUCUGCUCCAGGUUGGGAUCCCGGUGGCCACGCCCCCACGAGGAGGCCACGCCCACAAGGGUGGAUACGCCCACCACAAAGGCCACGCCCCCUCCUGCCUCUUCCUUCCUGGGAUGGGGUUGCUGCCCCCCCUGUUGUGGCUGCUCUGCUCCAGGUGGGGGACCCGGUGGCCACACCCCCAGGAGGACACUCCCACAAGGACACGCCCACCUCUCAAAUGGACACGCCCACAUCACAGGCCACACCCCCCCUUCCUGCCCCUUCCCCUGCCCCUUCCCCUGCCUCUUUCCUUCCUGGACUGGGGCUGCCCCCUUGUUGUGGUUGCUUUGCUCCAGGUGGAAGCCCGGUGGCCACGCCCCCAGGAGGCCACUCCCACAAGGACACGCCCCAUAUCAGGCCACGCCCCCCUCCUGCCCCUUCCCCUGCCUCCUUCCUUCUUGGACUGGGGCUGCCCCCUUGUUGUGGUUGCUCUGCUCCAGGUGGGGGACCUGGUGGCCAUGCCCCCACGAGGAGGCCACGCCCCCAUGGAGCCACGUCCACCACCCAGGCCACGCCCCCCCUGCCUCUUCCCCUGCCUCCUUCCUUCCCAGGAUGGGGCUGCUGCCCCGUGUUGUGGUUGCUCUGCUCCCUCCUGGGCAUGGCCCCUCCCACAGCCCUUGGGUGACCCAUGGGAGCCUGGUGGCCACACCCACAAGGGUGUACACGCCCCCUAUGGAGCCACGCCCACAGGGAGACCACACCCACAAGGGUGGACACGCCCCCAAGGUGGCCACACAUCCCCCCAAGGAGGGGGACUGUGGCCAUGGCCACACCCCCCAAGGAGGCCACGCCCCCACCUGGAGCCACACCCGCAAUGGGGGACACGCCCCUGCAUAAGCCACGCCCCCCCUGCCGCAUCCGGGGGGGGGCUCUGCCUGGGUUCCUGGUGGCCACGCCCCCAGGAGGCCCCCUCCCACUUGGAGGCCCCGCCCCCCCUUUGCAGGAAAGCAGGGGGUGGGGCCUGGCUUGGCCCCGCCCUCCCCUUCCUUAUGGUGCUCUGGGCGGGGCCAGUGAGGGGGCCACGCCCCCCCUCCCUGCACCCAUGUGUGAGGGUGGGCGGGGCUUCCCCCUGACCCCGCCCCCUUCCUCCUCCUCCUCCCCCCUGGGAGCCGCGCUGGGCGCACCCAGGUUGGGGGGGAGGGGAGGGGUCAUGACCCCGCCCCCCCGGCCCCGCCUCUGACCUCGCUGGGAAAGGUCAGAGGUCAGCCCCGCCCGCUUGAGGGGGGGGC
Molecule: long non-coding RNA, 1783 nt
Filed under: Apteryx rowi (Okarito brown kiwi)
Lineage: Eukaryota; Metazoa; Chordata; Aves; Apterygiformes; Apterygidae
Description: lncRNA (ENSARWG00000016770.1)
Source: RNAcentral